This 366-nucleotide long non-coding RNA is filed under the name Crocodylus porosus (Australian saltwater crocodile). RNAcentral describes it as "lncRNA (ENSCPRG00005006032.1)". The record is from RNAcentral. Lineage: Eukaryota; Metazoa; Chordata; Crocodylia; Crocodylidae.
GCGGGGGCGCGGGAGGGGGGCAGCUCUCGCGAGAGUCGGCGCGGGAGUACGGCCCCCGCGUGGUCACGUGCGAGGGAGGGGAGCGGGCGACGCGGCCGCCAUGAUACCUGGAGUGGCGGAAGUGCGCUGUUUGGGGUGUCUCGGUGGUAGUGGCACAUGGCGGGGACUCUGGAAUCUACCUACCCACAUGAAGUGCACAUGGGAUGCAUGGUCAGCUACAACACUCCCGUAGCAACCGUACAGUCAGAACACUUGGGUUUCUCUUUUGUCAACUUCAUGUCUGGUUUCUGUACUGUGAGCAAAACUGAGGAUAUGGGUACCACAAAGAAGUCUUCAACGACCUUAGCACUAAAUUGUAGCUUGCCU